UCGGGAAUAUUGCGCAAUGGAGGAAACUCUGACGCAGUGACGCCGCGUGCAGGAAGAAGGUUUUCGGAUUGUAAACUGCUUUAGACAGGGAAGAACAAAGACAGUACCUGUAGAAUAAGCUCCGGCUAACUACGUGCCAGCAGCCGCGGUAAUACGUAGGGAGCAAGCGUUAUCCGGAUUUAUUGGGUGUAAAGGGUGCGUAGACGGGAAAACAAGUUAGUUGUGAAAUCCCUCGGCUUAACUGAGGAACUGCAACUAAAACUAUUUUUCUUGAGUGUUGGAGAGGAAAGUGGAAUUCCUAGUGUAGCGGUGAAAUGCGUAGAUAUUAGGAGGAACACCAGUGGCGAAGGCGACUUUCUGGACAAUAACUGACGUUGAGGCACGAAAGUGUGGGGAGCAAACAGGAUUAGAUACCC
This 416-nucleotide ribosomal RNA is filed under the name uncultured bacterium. Its description in RNAcentral is "bacterial SSU rRNA". It matches the Rfam family "Bacterial small subunit ribosomal RNA", at positions 355 to 787 of the family's 1533-position model. The record is from RNAcentral.